Molecule: ribosomal RNA, 472 nt
Filed under: uncultured bacterium
Lineage: Bacteria
Description: bacterial SSU rRNA
Rfam family: Bacterial small subunit ribosomal RNA
Source: RNAcentral
CCAGACUCCUACGGGAGGCAGCAGUUAGGAAUAUUCGUCAAUGGGGGAAACCCUGAACGAGCAAUGCCGCGUGAACGAUGACGGUCCUCUGGAUUGUAAAGUUCUGUUGUUUGGGAAGAACGGCUCUAAUAGGAAAUGAUUAGAGAUUGACUGUACCAUUCAAGAAAGCCACGGCUAACUACGUGCCAGCAGCCGCGGUAAUACGUAGGUGGCGAGCGUUAUCCGGAUUUACUGGGUGUAAAGGGGGCGCAGACGGCAGCGCAAGCCAGGAGUGAAAGCCCGGGGCCCAACCCCGGGACUGCUCUUGGAACUGCGCGGCUGGAGUGCAGGAGGGGCAGGCGGAAUUCCUGGUGUAGCGGUGAAAUGCGUAGAUAUCAGGAGGAACACCGGUGGCGAAGGCGGCCUGCUGGACUGCGACUGACGUUGAGGCCCGAAAGCGUGGGGAGCAAACAGGAUUAGAUACCCCCGUAUG